Molecule: ribosomal RNA, 369 nt
Filed under: Nucella emarginata
Lineage: Eukaryota; Metazoa; Mollusca; Gastropoda; Neogastropoda; Muricidae
Description: partial 12S ribosomal RNA
Source: RNAcentral
UUGGCCGUAAACAAAUUAUAUUUACCAGAGUACUAUGAACUAAGAAGUUUAAAACUCAAAGAGCUUGGCGGUGUUUUAGACCUCUCAGGGGAACCUGUCUCAUAAUCGACAAUCCACGCUAUACCUAACCUUAUUUUGCUUUUACAGUUUGUAUACCGUCGUCGUCAGGUAACUUUUAAAAAUCUAGAAGUUAGCAAAAAAGCUGUAUAAGCUUACACGUCAGAUCAAGGUGCAGCUCAUAUUAAGGUGAGGAUGGGUUACAAUUAUAAAAUCAUAACUACGAAAUAACUAUAAUAAUAUAUAAUUAUAAGGAGGACUUGAAAGUAAACUAAAUUAUAAAAACAUUUUGAAUAAGGCUCUGAAACGUGC